This 751-nucleotide ribosomal RNA is filed under the name Bacillus subtilis. RNAcentral describes it as "bacterial SSU rRNA". It matches the Rfam family "Bacterial small subunit ribosomal RNA", at positions 67 to 800 of the family's 1533-position model. The record is from RNAcentral. Lineage: Bacteria; Bacillati; Bacillota; Bacilli; Caryophanales; Bacillaceae.
CGGACAGAUGGGAGCUUGCUCCCUGAUGUUAGCGGCGGACGGGUGAGUAACACGUGGGUAACCUGCCUGUAAGACUGGGAUAACUCCGGGAAACCGGGGCUAAUACCGGAUGGUUGUUUGAACCGCAUGGUUCAAACAUAAAAGGUGGCUUCGGCUACCACUUACAGAUGGACCCGCGGCGCAUUAGCUAGUUGGUGAGGUAACGGCUCACCAAGGCAACGAUGCGUAGCCGACCUGAGAGGGUGAUCGGCCACACUGGGACUGAGACACGGCCCAGACUCCUACGGGAGGCAGCAGUAGGGAAUCUUCCGCAAUGGACGAAAGUCUGACGGAGCAACGCCGCGUGAGUGAUGAAGGUUUUCGGAUCGUAAAGCUCUGUUGUUAGGGAAGAACAAGUACCGUUCGAAUAGGGCGGUACCUUGACGGUACCUAACCAGAAAGCCACGGCUAACUACGUGCCAGCAGCCGCGGUAAUACGUAGGUGGCAAGCGUUGUCCGGAAUUAUUGGGCGUAAAGGGCUCGCAGGCGGUUUCUUAAGUCUGAUGUGAAAGCCCCCGGCUCAACCGGGGAGGGUCAUUGGAAACUGGGGAACUUGAGUGCAGAAGAGGAGAGUGGAAUUCCACGUGUAGCGGUGAAAUGCGUAGAGAUGUGGAGGAACACCAGUGGCGAAGGCGACUCUCUGGUCUGUAACUGACGCUGAGGAGCGAAAGCGUGGGGAGCGAACAGGAUUAGAUACCCUGGUAGUCCACGC